Frieseomelitta varia is the source of this 1594-nucleotide long non-coding RNA. RefSeq lists it as uncharacterized. The record is from RefSeq and is a predicted model, not a curated record. The transcript has 3 exons. Lineage: Eukaryota; Metazoa; Arthropoda; Insecta; Hymenoptera; Apidae.
AAAUCAACUAAAAAAUAAAGAAAAGAAAAAAAGAGCAAACGAAAAAAUAAAGGAAUUAACGGAGGGGGAGGGGGAAAACCACAAACGACCACGGGGGCAACCUCAGUGUUGUACAUCCAUCGCGGAGGAGCCAUGCGUCUGAUCUAAGGCGUGCACCAUAGACGUAGUGUGAAACAGACCUGCCACCUUAUGCGUUUUUUGCGUGUCGUGACUUGACGCGCUAGAGGAUAUUCUUGCCGCGUCAUUUUCGAUCUCGGUUGAUUUGAUGUGGCAGUAAGGUCACAGUACUUUCACAAGAAUUAGAGGCACGUUAGACUCGAAAUAAAAUAUAGUUUUUAAACAAGAAAAAAGUAAUAUACAUGUAGUUAUACUAGAACCUUCUGCAAUGCAAAAGUCGUCGUUCAUCUGAUAAAGUCAGUGAUUGAACUUUGAGAGAAAAAAGAAUGUUAACUGUGAGAGAUACUAGCAACGACAGAUUAUGGCUUAUCUCUGUUUAACAUAUACGCAAUAGAUUUUUUAUCUCCCGUAAUUGCAAUUGUUCAAUCGGGACUCGGAUUACUCGCAUAGUCGUAGAUCACUCGGGGCUCAAAGAACUCACAUAAUUACGAAUAGCGAAAAAUUAAACAUCACUCGAGUGAAUGUUUCGAUCGAUGGACGAUAAAUCGUAAACCUUGUCUGUAAUUGGAUCUAUUUAAUGGUAUUUGUAAAUAAUUAUUUCCCGUGAGCAAUAAGUGAAAUAAUGUAAAGAAGAAAAGUUCAGGAUCUAAUUUGGACGAUGCAGUUACAAAGGCUAGUAAAUUUAUUUAUUUAUUAGUUAUUUUUGCAAAUGAAAAUUGCCCGAUUUAUGGGCACUGAGAUACUAGCGCCACGUAGCGACAAAUCUGUGGAACUAGUCGCUGUCGUUCCUUUUUCUACGACGAUGCUGCCAUCUAUGUUUAAUCAAACAGCGUCGAUAAAUUUCAAACAUAAAAAAACAGGUUAGGUGCCAUCUAUCGGGUCCUGACAAAAUUUUCUGUUUAAAUCACUUUCGACAGAUGGCAGCACAUAGCAUAUUCUAGUCACGUUUUCAAAAACUACCCGAUCAAAACUCGUAUAGAUGGCAGCACCUUCGUACAAAAGAACGACAAGGAUAUAAAUAAUGGUUAGUUCCAGUGUUUCGUCGCUAGGCGGCGAAGUAAUUCAGUACAAAUUUAAUCGAGCAAAUUUCCAUUUGCAAAAAAAUUAAUUAAAACGAUUGAUUUGUGAACUUCUGUAAUUUGUAAUUUGCUGCUCCACGUUUCAGACCCAAAGCCUUUUCUCUUAUGUUUCAGUCAACCCAUAUAAACGAUUGCAAAUUCUAUUCAAUAAUAUUUACAUUUAGUUUAAGAGUUUAGUUAAAAGAUGUCAUUACAUUUCUGCAAAUUAUAUCCAAUGUAUAACUUUUUUGAUAGAACUAUUAUAACUUCAUUUUAGAACUAUUAUUAUAUUACAAUCAUUAUCAUUCAUAAUGAAAACCAAAGUAAUCGUGAGAUUGCUUGAAUCAAACAUAUUGUUUGUAAACUUUUAUUGCAAAAUGAAUUAACAUAUAGUACAAGAUUUAUAUUUGUAAACUAAA